UACGGAAGGCAGCAGUGGGGAAUAUUGCACAAUGGGCGAAAGCCUGAUGCAGCUAUGCCGCGUGUAUGAAGAAGGCCUUAGGGUUGUAAAGUACUUUCAUCGGGGAGGAAAAAACAAAACUAAUAAUUUUAUUUCUUGACGUUACCCGAAAAAGAAGCACCGGCUAACUCCGUGCCAGCAGCCGCGGUAAUACGGAGGGUGCUAGCGUUAAUCAGAAUUACUGGGCGUAAAGAGCACGUAGGUGGUUUUUUUAAGUCAGAUGUGAAAUCCCCGGGCUUAACCUGGGAAUGGCAUUCAAGACUGGUUAGCUAGAGUCUUGUAGAGGGGGUUAGAAUUCCAUGUGUAGCGGUGAAAUGCGUAGAGAUGUGGAGGAAUACCGGUGGCGAAGGCGGCCCCUGGGACAAAGACCUGACGCUCAUGUGCGAAAGCGUGGGGAGCAAACCAGGGAUUAGAUACCCGU
This 460-nucleotide ribosomal RNA is filed under the name uncultured bacterium. RNAcentral describes it as "bacterial SSU rRNA". It matches the Rfam family "Bacterial small subunit ribosomal RNA", at positions 340 to 789 of the family's 1533-position model. The record is from RNAcentral.